RNAcentral lists this ribosomal RNA (700 nucleotides) under uncultured Lachnospiraceae bacterium. Its description in RNAcentral is "bacterial SSU rRNA". It matches the Rfam family "Bacterial small subunit ribosomal RNA", at positions 49 to 764 of the family's 1533-position model. The record is from RNAcentral. Lineage: Bacteria; Bacillati; Bacillota; Clostridia; Lachnospirales; Lachnospiraceae.
GAACGAAGCAAUUAAAAUGAAGUUUUCGGAUGGAUUUUUGAUUGACUGAGUGGCGGACGGGUGAGUAACGCGUGGAUAACCUGCCUCACACUGGGGGAUAACAGUUAGAAAUGACUGCUAAUACCGCAUAAGCGCACAGUACCGCAUGGUACGGUGUGAAAAACUCCGGUGGUGUGAGAUGGAUCCGCGUCUGAUUAGCCAGUUGGCGGGGUAACGGCCCACCAAAGCGACGAUCAGUAGCCGACCUGAGAGGGUGACCGGCCACAUUGGGACUGAGACACGGCCCAAACUCCUACGGGAGGCAGCAGUGGGGAAUAUUGCACAAUGGGCGAAAGCCUGAUGCAGCGACGCCGCGUGAGUGAAGAAGUAUUUCGGUAUGUAAAGCUCUAUCAGCAGGGAAGAAAAUGACGGUACCUGACUAAGAAGCCCCGGCUAACUACGUGCCAGCAGCCGCGGUAAUACGUAGGGGGCAAGCGUUAUCCGGAUUUACUGGGUGUAAAGGGAGCGUAGACGGCGAAGCAAGUCUGAAGUGAAAACCCAGGGCUCAACCCUGGGACUGCUUUGGAAACUGUUUUGCUAGAGUGUCGGAGAGGUAAGUGGAAUUCCUAGUGUAGCGGUGAAAUGCGUAGAUAUUAGGAGGAACACCAGUGGCGAAGGCGGCUUACUGGACGAUAACUGACGUUGAGGCUCGAAAGCGUGG